Molecule: long non-coding RNA, 3032 nt
Organism: Lolium rigidum
Lineage: Eukaryota; Viridiplantae; Streptophyta; Magnoliopsida; Poales; Poaceae
Exons: 3
Source: RefSeq, a predicted model, not a curated record
UCCCCAAAUUCUUUAGCCAGAUCUGAUUUCCUCGCCAACACAGUCUCCUACCAUGGGGCAUCUCCUUCAAUCGCGACGCCUCUGACACCCACCUCCCCGGCCAUGCCUGAUACCAGCCCUUCCCACCGUCGACCAGGCCUCCGAUUCUCAGGCGCCCCUCCUCCUGCUGAUGGGAAGCACCCCACGGGAGGGAUGCACGGGCGUAUACCUGCCUGGCAGCCGGCCGCCAUGCUUGCAGUCGCUCCCAUGGCCGCGCCCGCCAUGGCGAGCAGCCGCGGGCAGGGCAAGUGACCAAGACGACGAUACGUGGCGGAGCUCCGGGCAUGGCCGAUGGAGACGACCGCGGCAGCGGGACGAUGGCACUGGGCAUGCCCGCUGGGCGAUGGCCGCGUCAUCGAUGCCUGUCCCCAACUCCCCAUCCCCGUCCCUAAGCUCUAUCUCCGCGCGCUAGGUCGUCGGCAACUAGGUUUAUUCGAGCUUUGGGAAUGGCUGACAUGUGCGGCAUCAUGCUCGGGAACGACGUAUCCCACGUUGAUCGUCAGUGAGCAGGUGAUCUUGCAGCGAAUUUUUGGUGGCCUCCGACCGUGAGGAUGAAGAGGACAUCCGCACACUCGAGUUCGGCCAGAGAACCUCAACAGAGGAGGUACGUUUCUAUCCAUUCUUCUUAAUUCCUUCAUUCUCGCUUGUAAACUUUGUCCACUCACAUCUCUAUUCUGCCUUUCUCAAAUCCACCCACCAUAGCAUCUUUCUAAGAUGAAUGCUUGCUUACUGUAAUAGGAUUUGGGACCAGACGGAGAAUGUAUUUAUUAUUUGUUACUUAGUUCAACUACCUAUGAUAUACGAGUUGGAAGGAUUAUACAGAAUAAUUUAGUCUUUUCAUACAUAUUUGCAUCUUUAUAACAUGAAUGCUUGCUUGCUGUAAUAGGAUUUGGGACCAUACGGAGAAUGUAUUUAUUAUUUGCACUUGCUUCUCCUCAUAUUUUUGUUGUAGAUUUGUGCAUUGUUGGGCAAUGUUAAGAUGCUAAGCAAGUGUUUCUUGUUACAUGGUUAUGAUUCUCUCAUAUUUUCUGACUACAGAGUUAGAUUUACAUUGAUGUCAUUGUCCAACAACUAUUUCUUUCUAUAUAAUAAUUAAUUGUCCUUAAUAAGAGGGCAUAGUUCAACAGCUAUUUCUUUGUGAAUAUUAAUCACUUGUCCUAUAUUUCUUGAUGCGUUGAAGGGGCAACACAUUCUCUGUUUUUAUUUUAUUUUGAAGAAACAUGAGGUUUACUCGCUGAUGCAAUGACCAAGAGGUGAAAUGAUUGAUAGCACAGUAAAACUACCAAAACCAACAACAAGAUCAUCAGGGGCACAUAUUGUUGCUAAAAAAAUCAGCACAUGUGCGCACAUGCCACCUAGAACAGAGGACAAGCAAAAGCCUUUCUCACUAAUUUUUUUUGAUUUCCCACUCUGCAAGCCUUUCACACAUUAGUUUCUGUAUUCAUGCCUCAAGCAAUAUUGUUAAUAAAUCAUGGUCUAGAGGCUGCAUCCCUCCUGUCUGAUAAUGAUCUGUUAUGAAUCUGUUGUUCUAGAUUUGUGCAAUGUUUUUCAGAUUUAUGAUUACUGGUCUUUAUUUCAACUAAUGAAUCUAUGCCAUUAGGCAUACCGUUUUCAUCCUGUCAGUUCAUGAAGUACAUCUUCUUGUGCAUAGUAUUAUUAAUUUUUUUAUUCAUCUAUGAUUUGGCAGGGAAAAGAUAAGGGAGUAGGCAUUUGUAUGAUAAAUCUCCAACAACAGUUUUGAAUUGAAUAGUUACCAUGUUUCCCAGGUUUGGCUACAACUCUUGAUUACCCACAACUGGCUUUUAUUUCUUACUUCUGGUCAUACCAUGUACUUAAACACCUUCUUAUCUGCAAUUGCUUGGGAGAUGAGAUUUAAUUAUGAUAAGCUUCUGGCUCCCUGACCUUUUGAUCUGUGUACUUAGUUUUUCUUGCCCUCGGACCAAGUAAAUGAAUAUUUAAUUAACACAAACUUUUAUUAGUACAUGAGAAUAAAGUUUCAUUGCAAAUGGUUCAACUCCAACCAGGCACCCAGUAGUUUGGCAUGUUCAUGUCUAGCUCUUUCCGUAAUAAUCGAGUCAUAGAUUUUAUAUUCCCACUGAUGCCAGCAAAAUGACCACAUAUCAUCCUCCUUUAAUGAUGUUGGAUUAUACGAAGCUUUGUAUGCAGCAGUCAUAUACGAAGUUUAACUUCGGUCUUGAUUGCAAUAUGAAAAUGGUCUAUUUUUCCUGAUGCAACACGAGUUCUUUCAUGUUCUACGUUUACAGGUCCUAUUUUUUAAAUCAUGUACUAGGUCCGUUGUUAAGAAGCACCUGGCAACUUCUAUUACAUAAGUGAAAAGCCUGCUACAUGCUAAAUUUCAACAUAAAGGGUUUGCUUUAUGGGAAGGUUUUCAUACGCCCAGACCUGCCUCUCCCUCGCACAGGCAAGCCAAUCGCUGAUGUGCCUUUGACUAUCGAUGUCGUGCCAUGACCUGUGAAACCAGUCAAGACGGAUUCCCCAUUCGUGAAAGAGACACUUUAUGCAUUCAUGAUUACCGGUUUCAUGGAAGAAGUCUCACGCGCACAACUAGAGUAUGCUAGGUGCGCUGGUAAGGGACGCUCUUCCAUCAAGACCUGAAGAAAUUUGGUUCAGCGUGUGGCACUUGAAGAUUGGAGAACAUCCUAAAUACUCUUCAGGCUGAGAUUUUAGUUGCUGCCAACUGGGCUCAGUUAGCAGCUUUUGAUGGAAUCAGAUCUGUGAACUGAUUCUCUGGUCUUAAAAGAAAGAAUGAUGGUGAUAUUGAUCGAUCAGGUGUCUGCAUAUCUAUGGCAGAAUUCAAGGAUUUCCUGAGUCAAAACUUUGAUUUUUGUUCCUUUAGUUGGCAAAGAGAACUUCAAAUAACAGAGUAUCAAAUGACGUGGCAAGGUUGGGCUGCGUGUUAAAUUUGUAUGAAGACGUUCAUGUAGACAAUGUAAUGCCUGGUCUAUUUGAGCUUAUGGUGAGCGAUAUGGCUC